This is a long non-coding RNA of Maylandia zebra (zebra mbuna), 349 nucleotides long. RefSeq lists it as uncharacterized. The record is from RefSeq and is a predicted model, not a curated record. Lineage: Eukaryota; Metazoa; Chordata; Actinopteri; Cichliformes; Cichlidae.
CGAUCACUGAAACCAUGCUGAAGGUAGCAUUUGUGCUUGGAUGCCUCCUGAGCCUCACUUUGACUCAACCUAUGGGUAUGGCGCGCAAAAGACUUGUGCGCUCAAGCUCUGAAUCUUACUCUGGGUCAGGGGAAGCCAAUCAACUGCCACAGUUAAACAAUCAACAGCUGCAGCUACUCAUACAAUUACUACUUGCCAGCCUAGCAACAACCACUACUAGAGCUCCAACCACUACAACAGCUGCACCCACCCCUCGUCCGGCUGUAACUGGUUAAAAACUGGCAUUUAACUAUUGAAUGAAAGUUAGCAUGCAGUGCAACUGUCAAUUUGUGAUAUUUUAAUGAGAAAA